GCAAAACUACCGGCCCAUGCGGCCCAACGCGACGCAAGCGAGGGAAGUGAGGGGAAAAGGGCGCUAGAGGCCACAGAAAAAGGCGCGAGGAUUACAGAAACGGCGGCAAAGUUCACCGGAAGGAGAUCGCUGGCGCCCGGCGGGGACUGCUACUCUGCUCGCCAACGCCAAUCUCAGGUAAGUCUCCACAGUCCUUUCUCUCGACGCUUAACACAUGAAUAAAAUUGAUCGACGUUCCAGCAUCCCAUUAUUUUAGAACUUGAUCGUUUUUUCCUUUUUCUCAUGGAAGAGCAGCCUGCUGAACUCUGAUCAGGAACCCCUUUUUCUGAUGGAAGAAGCAACCUAGGUGGAAAACGAGACUAACACAGCACACCAUGAUUCUAAUUCCAAUAAGUAAAUUUUCCUGAUUUUUUUCUUGUCCUCCUGAAGUUCGACACAGUGUGAAAUCUGUAGUGAUUCCCUGCAUAGUAGUGAAAUCUGUAGAUUCAAGAGAUACAUUGUUGUCCUCAUGUGAUUAUUUCCAAGGCAUGGAGUAAUACUUAUGACUCAUUACCAUGUUCUGUAUUUUGUAGAAUUACCUUAGCACCUAAUCCCUGUUGGUCCCAAUCACCACUACUGUUUGCUUAUUCUCUUGUAAUAAUCUUUUUCCG
RNAcentral lists this long non-coding RNA (650 nucleotides) under Triticum aestivum (bread wheat). Its description in RNAcentral is "long non-coding RNA (TAES_LNC021134)". The record is from RNAcentral. Lineage: Eukaryota; Viridiplantae; Streptophyta; Magnoliopsida; Poales; Poaceae.